UGCAAGUCGAGCGAACAGACGAGGAGCUUGCUCCUCUGACGUUAGCGGCGGACGGGUGAGUAACACGUGGAUAACCUACCUAUAAGACUGGGAUAACUUCCGGAAACCGGAGCUAAUACCGGAUAACAUGUUGAACCGCAUGGUUCAACAGUGAAAGACGGUCUUGCUGUCACUUAUAGAUGGAUCCGCGCCGCAUUAGCUAGUUGGUAAGGUAACGGCUUACCAAGGCAACGAUGCGUAGCCGACCUGAGAGGGUGAUCGGCCACACUGGAACGAGACACGGACCAGACUCCUACGGGAGGCAGCAGUAGGGAAUCUUCCGCAAUGGGCGAAAGCCUGACGGAGCAACGCCGCGUGAGUGAAGAAGGUCUUCGGAUCGUAAAACUCUGUUAUUAGGGAAGAACAAAUGUGUAAGUAACUAUGCACGUCUUGACGGUACCUAAUCAGAAAGCCACGGCUAACUACGUGCCAGCAGCCGCGGUAAUACGUAGGUGGCAAGCGUUAUCCGGAAUUAUUGGGCGUAAAGCGCGCGUAGGCGGUUUUUUAAGUCUGAUGUGAAAGCCCACGGCUCAACCGUGGAGGGUCAUUGGAAACUGGAAAACUUGAGUGCAGAAGAGGAAAGUGGAAUUCCAUGUGUAGCGGUGAAAUGCGCAGAGAUAUGGAGGAACACCAGUGGCGAAAGCGACUUUCUGGUCUGUAACUGACGCUGAUGUGCGAAAGCGUGGGGAUCAACAGGAUUAGAUACCCUGGUAGUCCACGCCGUAACGAUGAGUGCUAGUGUUAGGGGUUUCCGCCCCUUAGUGCUGCAGCUAACGCAUAGCACUCCGCUGGGGAGUACGA
RNAcentral lists this ribosomal RNA (840 nucleotides) under Staphylococcus sp. BFES95. Its description in RNAcentral is "bacterial SSU rRNA". It matches the Rfam family "Bacterial small subunit ribosomal RNA", at positions 56 to 885 of the family's 1533-position model. Lineage: Bacteria; Bacillati; Bacillota; Bacilli; Caryophanales; Staphylococcaceae. The record is from RNAcentral.